Molecule: transfer RNA, 71 nt
Filed under: Bos taurus (domestic cattle)
Lineage: Eukaryota; Metazoa; Chordata; Mammalia; Artiodactyla; Bovidae
Also listed under: 4 other names
Rfam family: tRNA
About the family: Transfer RNA (tRNA) molecules are approximately 80 nucleotides in length. Their secondary structure includes four short double-helical elements and three loops (D, anti-codon, and T loops).
Source: Rfam by way of RNAcentral
UCCCUGGUGGUCCAGUGGUUAUGACUCUGCUUCCAAUGCAGAGCGCACAGGUUCGAUCCCUGUUCGGGGAA